Molecule: ribosomal RNA, 2857 nt
Filed under: Ziziphus jujuba (common jujube)
Lineage: Eukaryota; Viridiplantae; Streptophyta; Magnoliopsida; Rosales; Rhamnaceae
Description: bacterial LSU rRNA
Rfam family: Bacterial large subunit ribosomal RNA
Source: RNAcentral
GGAAAGGCUUACGGUGGAUACUUAGGCACCCAAAGACAAGGAAAGGCGUAAUAAACAACAAAAUGCUCAAGGAGUUGAAAAUAAGAGUAGAUUCGGAGAUUUCCUGAGUAAGUCAAUCUUUCAAACUGCUACUCAAUCCAUGGUAGGCAAGAGACAACCUGGCAAACUAAAACAUCUUAGUAGCCAGAGGAAAAGAAACCAAAAGUGAUUCCCGUAGUAGUGGCGACCAAAAUGAGAGCAGCCUAAACCGUGAAAAUGGGGUUGUGGGAGAGCAAUACAAACGUCGUGCUGCUAGGCGAAGUGGUGGAGUGCUGCACCCUAGAUGGAGAGAGUCCAGUAGCCGAAAGUAUCACUAGCUUAUGCUAUGACCCGAGUAGCAUGGGACAUGUGGAAUCCUUUAUGAAUUAGCAAGAACCACCUUGCAAGGCUAAAUACUCCUGGGUGACCGAUAGUGAAGUAGUACCAUAAGGGAAGGGUAAAAAAAAACCCCCAUCGGGGAGUGAAAUAGAUCAUGAAACCGUAAUCUCCCAAGUAGUGGGAGGAGACCAAGGCUCUGACUAUGUGCCUAUUGAAAAAUGAGUCGAUAACUUAUAGGCAGUGGCUUGGUUAAAGGAACCCACUAGAGCCAUAGCAAAAGUGAUUUUUCAUAGGGCAAUUCUCACUGCUUAUGGACCCAAACCUAGGUGAUCUAUCCAUGACUAGGAUGAAGCUUGGGUGAAACUAAGUGGAGGUCUGACCUAACUGAUGUUGAAGAAUUAACGGAUGAGUUGUGGUUAGGGGUGAAAUGCCACUCGAACCCAGAGCUAGCUAGUUCUCCCCGAAAUGCGUUGAGGCACAACAGUUGAUCGGACAUCUAGGGGUAAGGCACUGUUUCGGUGCAAGCUGUGAGAGUGGUACCAAAUCGAGGUAAACUCUGAAUACUAGAUAUGACUUCAAAAUAACAGGGGUCAAGGUUGGUCAGUGCAAUGAUGAGAGAUACGCUUCUUCAUCAAGAGGGAAACAGCUCAGAUCACCAACUAAGGCCCCUAAAUGACCGCUCAGUGAUAAAAGAGGUAGGAAUGUAGAGAAAGCAGGAGGUUUUUCUAGAAGCAGCCACCCUUGAAAUAGUGCAUAAUAGCUCACUGAUCGAGUGCUCCUGCACCAAAGAUGAACAGAGCUAAAUGAUCUGCCGAAGCUAUGGGAUGUAAAACUGCAUUGACUGGGGAGUCUUCCGCUUAGAAGGAAGCACCCGCACGAGCAAUAGUAGAUGAAGUAGAAGCUAGAAUGUCAACUUGAGUAACAAAAACAUUGGUGAGAAUCCAAUGCUUAGAACACCUAAGGGUUCCUCUGCUAGGUUCAUCCAUGGAGGGUGAGUCAGAGCCUAAGAUCAUGCCGAAAGGCGAAGUCGAUGGACAACAGGUGAAUAUUUUUGUACUACCCCUUAUGGGUCUCAAAGGAUGGAGGAGGUUAGGUUAGCCAAAAGAUGGUUAUUGGUUCAAGGAUGCAAGGUACCCUGCUUUUUCAGGGUAAGAAAGGGUAAAGAAAAUACCCUAAGCCGAUGUUCGAGUACCAAGCGCCAUGCCAUUGAAGUAACCCAUGCCAUACUCCAAGGAAAAGCUCAAAUGACCUUUAACUAAAGCGUACCUAUACCCGAAACCGACACAAUUGGGUAGGCAGAGUAUACCUAGGGGUGCAAGAUAACUCUCUCUAAGGAACUUGGCAAAAUAGCCCCAUAACUUCGGGAGAAAAGGUGCCUUCUCAUAAAGGGGGUUGCAGUGACCAGGCUCGGGCAACUGUUUACCAAAAACAUAGGUCUCUGUAAAGUCGUACAACCAUAUAUUAGGGCUGACACCUACCAGUGCUUGAAGGUUGAGGAAUUUAGUGACCUGAUGAUAGGGGAGCUAGCGACUGAAGCCUAGGUGAACGGCGGCCAUAACUAUAACAAUCCUAACAUAGUGAAAUUUCUUGUUGCGUAACGAUCUGGGUACUGUCUUGGAUAGGGGCUUGAUGAAGCUUCACUAUUCCCUGGGUUUGGCUUUGGGCCUUUCCUACGUAGCUUAGGUGGAAGGCAAAGAAGGCCUUUUUCUUGGGGGGGGGGGGGAGCCAUCAGUGAGAUAGCACUCUAGAAUAGCUAGAAUCCUAACCUUGUGUUAGGACCUAUUGGCCAAGGGAUAGUCUCGGGUAGAUAGUUUCUAUGGGGUGCAUGCCUCCCAAAAGGUAAUGGAGGCAUGCAAAAGUUUCCUCAGGCCAGAAGGAGAUUGGCGCUCAAGUGCAAAGGUAGAAGGGAGCUUGACUGCCAGACCCACCGAUUCAGCAGGGACGAAAGUCGGCCUAGUGAUUUGACGAUGCCGAAUGGAAAGGCCGUUGCUCAGUGGAUAAAAGUUACUCUACAAAUAACAUGCUAAUCUUCCCCAAAAGCUCACAUCGACAGGAAGGUUUGGCACCUCGAUGUCGGCACUUCGCCGCCUACGGCUGUAGUAUGUUCCAAGGGUUGGGUUGGUCGCCCACUAAAGCAGUACGUAAGCUGAGUUUAAAACGUCGUUAGACAGUUCGAUCCAUAUCUGGUGUGGGCAUUAGAGCAUUGAGAGGACCUUUGCCUAGUACAAGAGGACCGAGAAGGAUGCACCUUUGGUGUACCAGCUAUCGUGCCCACAGUAAACACUUGGUAGCCAAGUACAGAGCGAAUAACUGCUGAAAGCAUUUAAGUAGUAAGCCCACCCCUAAGAUGAGUUCUCUCCUAUUCUAACUUCCCCAGAGCUUUCGGUAACAUAGCUAAGAUAACAACGGGUUUUCUGCCCCUGCGGGGGUGGAAUGAUAGAAGUUUUGAAAAUUCAAGAGAAGGUCAUGGCGAUACGAGCCAUUUAUCAUUACAAUAGGU